AUGCACGCUGGCGGCGUGCCUCAUCCCUGCCAGUCGCGCGAACAGACGAGGAGCUUGCUCCUCUGACGUUAGCGGCGGCCGGGUGAGUAACCCGUGGAUAACCUACCUAUAAGACUGGGAUAACUUCGGGAAACCGGAGCUAAUACCGGAUAAUAUAUUGAACCGCAUGGUUCAAUAGUGAAAGACGGCUUUGCUUUCACUUAUAGAUGGAUCCGCGCCGCAUUAGCUAGUUGGUAAGGUAACGGCUUACCAAGGCAACGAUGCGUAGCCGACCUGAGAGGGUGAUCGGCCACACUGGAACUGAGACACGGUCCAGACUCCUACGGGAGGCAGCAGUAGGGAAUCUUCCGCAAUGGGCGAAAGCUUGACGGAGCAACGCCGCGUGAGUGAUGAAGGUCUUCGGAUCGUAAAACUCUGUUAUUAGGGAAGAACAAAUGUGUAAGUAACUAUGCACGUCUUGACGGUACCUAAUCAGAAAGCCACGGCUAACUACGUG
Molecule: ribosomal RNA, 496 nt
Filed under: uncultured bacterium
Lineage: Bacteria
Description: partial 16S ribosomal RNA
Rfam family: Bacterial small subunit ribosomal RNA
Source: RNAcentral